UGGCGCGUAGCUCAAUGGGAAGAGCGCCGGUGUUACAUACCGGGUGUUGUCGGUUCGAGUCCGACCGGGCCAACCA
RNAcentral lists this transfer RNA (76 nucleotides) under Streptomyces spectabilis. RNAcentral describes it as "tRNA-Val". It matches the Rfam family "tRNA". From Rfam's summary of the family: Transfer RNA (tRNA) molecules are approximately 80 nucleotides in length. The record is from RNAcentral. Lineage: Bacteria; Bacillati; Actinomycetota; Actinomycetes; Kitasatosporales; Streptomycetaceae.